MicroRNA precursor from Gallus gallus (chicken), 105 nucleotides. NCBI's taxonomy places the organism in Eukaryota, Metazoa, Chordata, Aves, Galliformes, Phasianidae. The record is from Ensembl.
GAGGACCAGUUGGCAGCUCUCACACAGUCCUGUCCUGUCUACCUACUGUCUGUCCUGUCCUGUGGUGGGAGGACAGUGAUGUGGGAGAGGGCCACUUUCAGCUUU